This is a long non-coding RNA of Pistacia vera, 471 nucleotides long. RefSeq lists it as uncharacterized. The transcript is spliced from 5 exons. The record is from RefSeq and is a predicted model, not a curated record. Lineage: Eukaryota; Viridiplantae; Streptophyta; Magnoliopsida; Sapindales; Anacardiaceae.
CCCUUCAAUACAGAGGAAUUCUAGGAAACCUUCUUUCACCUGAUUCAUGGGAAUGCAAACAUCAAUGCAAUUAGAGCCGCUUCAGAAAAAGGUAAAACCUGUGUUGGAUGAAGAGAAAUCCAAGGCUAUCGGCGUAGUCUUUAAUAAUGGGCGCGUGAAGAAGCAACCUGCAAAAUUAGCGAAAUAAAUGCAGCAAACAGGAUUUUCCAGCCUCCAUACACUAUCAGCAAUGGGUACGAAUCACACCCACCUCUCUGUCUCCAAUUAAGCCAGCCCUAGCCUAAAAAGAAUGAGACGCUAUCAAAAUCAAUGCAACUGGGCUGCAUUAACAAAAAGUUGACAACUGGGGAAGCACAUCACUCCUUACUUUAUCAAUAACUUGCCCCACAGUUCAAAAGUCAAGCUUGAUCAGUUGUGAAAAUGCAAGAGUACUUUUUUGGUAAAGCACAAUUUGGAAUGGAAGAUGGUAUG